GACGAACGCUGGCGGCGUGCUUAACACAUGCAAGUCGAACGGAAAGGCCCUGCUUUUGUGGGGUGCUCGAGCGGCGAACGGGUGAGUAACACGUGAGUAACCUGCCCUUGACUUUGGGAUAACUUCAGGAAACUGGGGCUAAUACCGGAUAGGAGCUCCUGCUGCAUGGUGGGGGUUGGAAAGUUUCGGCGGUUGGGGAUGGACUCGCGGCUUAUCAGCUUGUUGGUGGGGUAGUGGCUUACCAAGGCUUUGACGGGUAGCCGGCCUGAGAGGGUGACCGGCCACAUUGGGACUGAGAUACGGCCCAGACUCCUACGGGAGGCAGCAGUGGGGAAUAUUGCACAAUGGGCGGAAGCCUGAUGCAGCAACGCCGCGUGCGGGAUGACGGCCUUCGGGUUGUAAACCGCUUUCGCCUGUGACGAAGCGUGAGUGACGGUAAUGGGUAAAGAAGCACCGGCUAACUACGUG
RNAcentral lists this ribosomal RNA (468 nucleotides) under uncultured bacterium. RNAcentral's name for it is "partial 16S ribosomal RNA". It matches the Rfam family "Bacterial small subunit ribosomal RNA", at positions 28 to 507 of the family's 1533-position model. The record is from RNAcentral.